RNAcentral lists this unclassified non-coding RNA (7362 nucleotides) under Sitophilus oryzae (rice weevil). RNAcentral describes it as "phospholipid-transporting ATPase IA, transcript variant X8". The record is from RNAcentral. Lineage: Eukaryota; Metazoa; Arthropoda; Insecta; Coleoptera; Curculionidae.
AAAGUCAUAUAUAAAAGUUUUUUAGGUUAUUUGACUUAAUGUCAUUAUAUAUGAUUCAAAUGCCAUUUGUUUUGGUGUUUGUUGACGUUCACAAAGUCAAAAUCGCGUCAAAAUACAAAAGUUCCAAAAGUCUGUGAUAUUCGAUAUAUUUUUUUAUUAAAAAGGUUAUAAAACUAAUGAGAAAUUUACCAAGACGAAAUGAAUAUCUUGAUUUGGACGGUCAUAAUAUAGAGUAUCCAGUAAAUCGAACAUCAAGAACCCCAUAUGCCAACAAGACAAACCGCUAUCGAGCUUGACCAAGUUUCCCAACCCCAUAAUCAAGACACAGUCGUUGUCGAACACCUAAAUGGCCAAGACGAUCAUGAUGGUAUUGCUACUUCGGCUGUCGAUAGGGAAACAGAGACGAGUGGAGACACCCUUGAGGGGCAAGAGCAUCGAGUGAUCUUUAUCAAUAGGGCACAACCUCCCGUGGCCAAGUACUGUAAUAAUAGGAUAUCAACAGCCAAAUAUAGCAUUAUAAGAUUUGUACCACUUUUUCUAUUCGAGCAGUUUCGAAGAUGGGCGAACAUAUUUUUUCUCAUGAUUGCUCUACUUCAACAGAUACCAGAUGUCUCCCCGACAGGGAGAUACACCACUUUAGUGCCUCUGAUCUUCAUCUUGGCAGUGUCAGCGGUCAAAGAAAUUAUUGAGGACAUAAAAAGACAUAGAGCUGAUGAUGAAACAAAUCACAGAAAAGUGGAAGUUCUAAGAGGAGACGUUUGGAUUAACGUACGAUGGAUGGAUGUCAUAGUUGGCGACAUCGUCAAAGUGGUAAACAACACUUUUUUUCCAGCCGACUUAGUGUUACUUUCGUCCAGCGAACCCCAAAGCAUGAGUUUUAUCGAAACGGCUAAUUUGGACGGCGAAACUAAUUUAAAAAUUCGCCAAGCUCUGCCUAGCACAUCAAAAUUGACAGCGAUACAUGAGUUGAAGCAAUUAAGCGGCACGUUAGAGUGUGAGCCGCCCAAUAGGCACUUAUAUGAAUUCAACGGCGUAUUGAAGGAAUACAAUAAACCUCAUGAACCUUUGGGUCCAGACCAAAUUCUACUCAGGGGAGCCAUGUUGCGUAAUACCGCUUGGAUUUUUGGUUUAGUAAUUUACACUGGUCACGAAACAAAACUAAUGCGUAACUCCACCAAGGCCCCUUUGAAAAGGUCAACCAUAGAUAAAAUGACAAACAUUCAAAUUUUGCUGUUAUUUGGACUGUUAUUCAUCAUGUGUUUGAUUUGCACAGUAUUUAAUGUGAUUUGGACAAGUGCCAAUGGAACAAAUCAUUUUUAUAUUGGAUUACAAGAUACUGAAAAUGUUUUAUACACUUUCUUGACUUUUUUGAUUUUAUUCAACAAUCUUAUUCCCAUAUCUCUACAAGUAACGUUAGAAGUAGUAAGAUUCAUACAAGCUAUAUUUAUAAAUACUGAUAUAGAGAUGUAUCAUGCAGAAACUGAUACACCAGCUAUGGCUAGAACGUCCAAUUUAAAUGAAGAACUUGGGCAGGUGAAAUAUAUUUUUUCAGAUAAAACGGGCACCUUAACCAGAAAUAUUAUGGAAUUUAAGAGGUGUGCUGUUGGACACGAAAUUUAUAGACCAGGAGAUACGCCUGAUGAUUCGUUACUAGUACAACAUUUGAAAGAGAAACAUAAAAACGCCGAAUUGAUCAAAGAUCUUCUCAUUUUACUGUCAGUCUGUCAUACGGUAAUUCCUGAAAAAAUGCCUGACGGUACUAUGGUUUACCACGCCGCUUCUCCCGAUGAAAGAGCUUUGGUAAAUGGCGCUGCUAAGUUUGGUUAUGUAUUUGAAAGUAGGACGCCCGAUUACGUGGAUAUUAUGGCAUUAGGUGUUAAAGAACGUUAUGAAGUAUUGACAGUAUUAGAAUUUACAUCAGCUAGAAAGCGGAUGUCUGUAAUUGUAAAGGACCCUCAAGGCAAAAUUAAGCUUUAUUGUAAAGGCGCCGAUACUGUGAUAUAUGAAAGACUAGAUAAUAAUGCGUCAUCUAGAGAAUACAAAGAGCUACUGCUGCAACAUUUAGAAUCAUUUGCAACGGAAGGUUUGCGAACAUUAUGCUGCGCUGUCACGGAAUUAAAGAAAGGCGAUUACGACGAUUGGAAACAGUCAUAUCACCGAGCUUGUUGCAGUAUUCAACAUAGGGAAGAGAAAAUCGAGGAAGCUGCUAAUUUGAUAGAAAGAAAACUAAAACUUAUCGGCGCCACCGCUAUAGAAGACAAAUUACAAGAAGGUGUACCUGAAACUAUAGCCACAUUACUUAAAGCAGAUAUAAAUAUUUGGGUACUUACGGGAGACAAACAGGAAACAGCAAUUAAUAUUGGAUAUUCGUGCAAGUUGAUAUCUCAGGGCAUGCAAAUUAUUAUACUGAAUGAGGAUGGAUUAGAUAGUGUUAGAGAAGCAAUUCUGAGACAUUGUGAUGAAUUGGGUGAAAAUUUAGAAAAGCAGAAUGAAAUUGCUUUAGUUAUCGAUGGCAAAACACUUAAAUAUGCGUUAACGUGUGAGCUACGAACAGACUUUCUAAAGUUAUGCAUAUCUUGCAAGGUUGUCGUAUGCUGUCGGGUAUCGCCAAUGCAAAAAGCCGAAGUUGUCGAAUAUGUCACGAAACACACUCAAUCUGUCACUCUGGCAAUCGGCGAUGGGGCUAAUGACGUUGCCAUGAUUCAAAAAGCCCACGUCGGAGUUGGCAUAUCGGGAGUAGAAGGGUUACAAGCGGCCUGUGCCAGUGAUUAUAGCAUAGCACAGUUCAGAUUUUUAUUGCGGUUAUUGUUGGUGCACGGCGCUUGGAACUACUCUAGAAUGUGCAAGCUGAUUUUGUAUAGUUUUUACAAAAAUAUCUGUCUCUAUGUUAUUGAAUUGUGGUUCGCUAUCUAUUCUGGAUGGUCGGGGCAGAUUGUUUUUGAAAGAUGGUCUAUAGGUUUAUAUAAUGUGCUUUUUACUGCGUUACCGCCGUUGGCGAUGGGACUGUUUGACAGGAGUUGUAGCGCUGAGAGGAUGAUGUCAUUUCCGGAGUUGUACAAGCCGUCUCAAAGCGGUGAACUAUUUAAUAUAAAAGUAUUUUGGUUAUGGAUUAUAAACUCGUUAGUGCAUUCGGCGUUAUUAUUUUGGCUGCCUAUGUUGGCAGCGCGUUAUGAUAUAUUAUGGAUAAGCGGAAAAGAAGGAGGGUAUUUAGUGUUUGGAAAUUGUGUUUACACCUAUGUUGUCGUCACUGUUUGUUUGAAAGCUGGUUUGAUAACAAAUUAUUGGCCUUGGCCGACACAUUGUGCUAUAUGGGGAUCAAUAGUUCUAUGGUUUUUGUUUGUCAUAAUUUAUAGUUUGUUUUGGCCUACAAUUCCAAUCGGUAGUGUCAUGUGCGGGAUGUACAUCAUGUUAUUCUCCACGGCUGUAUUUUGGCUGGGAUUGUUUGCGAUACCUGUGAUCACAAUUGUACCAGACUUUGUAACCAAAGUAAUUAUGGGUACUGUAUUUAAGACUCCAACAGAUAUAAUAAGAGAAAGUGAAAUAAGAAAGAGGGAUCCAGAUGUGUACAGGGGGGACUCGAAAAAUUCACCCAUGCAUGCGUUGGAGCAGUUUGCGAUAUACUGUCUGAGACUGCGAGGUUGCUGAAAAACGUCUUCUUCAGGCGCACGCCCAGAAUAGAGCAAGACGUUGAACUGGCCCAUGGCUUCGCAUUUUCACAAGAAGAGGGAGGUGCUGUUUCUCAAACGGACGUUAUCAGAGCUUAUGACACAAACAUACCUAAACCCGAUGGAAUGUAAAUUCUUAAGGUAGAGAAAGAAAAUGCAGAACCAGAGUAGGAAUACUAAAUUUAAAAGAAUCAAAUUAUUAAGACCUAUUUAUUAUUGUUGAAAAAAAUCACCAAAGCUUGAAAGGCUGGGUUUAGAUAUUUAUUGAAGAGUAUUAAGAAAUUGAAUGAUGUUUAUAUGGUUUAGGAUGUCAGUGUAUGAAUGAAAAUAUAUUUACGUUAAGCUUCAUUGAGACCCUCGCAGUUAGUAGAAUAAAUCAGUGGUUCCAAUUACACUUUAUACUUUUUAGUUUACGAUCAUUCACAAUGUCUAAAAAACACAAUUAAAAUUAACAGAAUAUCCUAGCAACAGCUUGAGGUAGUCAGUUUGGUUUGGUUUGGUUAGGUUGUAGUAGGUAGAGUUGUAUCUAUAGAGAAAGCCUAAUAUUUAGCUUAUAAAACAAUAAGCUUUUGAUUUCUAACCACAAUUUCUCUUUACGGAUGAUAAUAAAAAGCCAAAAUGACAUUACUCACAAAUUUUGAAGUAUAAUUAGUGGAAAAGUUCAAAAUUUGUUUACCACUAAUGAUGCUCUCAGUGCUUACAUUGAUACAAGAGGAACAAACUUCUACGCUAAUUGAAACCACUAACUUAUUCCACUAAUUGCGAAGUUUAAGAAUGAAGCUUUAAGCUAAAUCAAGAAUUUAUUUAAAUUAAUAUUAUAUUAUUAAUAUACAAGUUAUUAUUAUCACAAAAUUGCACUUAUUUUGAAGUUCACAAAAAGUUAUGUUUUAAACUAUGGGAUAUUUACGGAAUGAAGUUUUUCAUUAAGCUUGAUCUUUUUUAAUUGAAAAAGAUGGACGUUAGUGAAAACAUCUUAUACAACAAACAGGUCAUUUCAAAAACAUGUUUGCCUACUUUUUAUUCAUCUACUGGUACCUGUCAAAUAACAAAUUCUAUUUAAUUAUGAUAUUAGAAAAUUAUUAUUGAUAUAAUCAAAAAUCUUGAGCAUUAUUACUUAAACAUAACGUAUAUCAGAUAAAGUUGAACUGAAGUUCUAGAUAGUGACAUGAUCAAGUGUUUCUGUAAUAGCUAUAGUAAAUUUCAAAGUAAAAUAUAUUUUAUUGGCGUUGAUAUAAAGCUAAUGUUUUUGAAGUGCCCUGUAUAUUUCAAUUUUCCAUGUGCCUUUCACAUAUUUAGUUUUUAUAUAUCUAAUAUACACAUAUAUAUUGAAAAUGUUUGAUAUCAAAAGUAGAUUAUAUUUGGGAAAUGCAUAUUUAUGAAGUAACACUACUGGCUGCACUAAUACAAUUGACUAACAGACGUCUUAUGACUACGUAGAAAAAAUACUAUAAGUUAUCUGGAAACAAUCAUAUUUAGGAAUGUGAUUUUAUAUUGUUACUUUGUAAAUAAAACUUAGUUUUCAUAUCCGUAUAACUGUUUUAUAUGAUUGCCUUUGUUAGGAAAUAUUCAAAGAAAACUAUUGACUUACCAAUCAAAAAGGUUGAACUUUAGUUAUGUAUUUACAGAGUUUCCAAGAUUACCUAUGUCAGAAUAUUACUAUCGUAUUAAUUACAGGGUUUGUUAAGAUAAAAAAAAGUAGAGUAGAAUUAAAAGUUUAAAAAAAUAUAUUGUUUCUAAUUUCUGUUCUAUUUUAUAUUGGUAACUCUAUAACUGCGUCAAUAUUUUUUAACUAACGAUGAUUAAAGGAAAACCUGUUAAAAUAUAGUUUUCUAUCCAGGGUAUAAAUAAAUGAGGGUAAGAAAUUACUUUUUGAAAAAUAAAAUUCAUUUUUUUUCGUGAAAAAUUUUUGAUUUGCCUACGUAACAAUACCUACCCUACAAAGUUGUUUGAUUAUACAGGGUGUAUUUGUAUAAACAGUUUUACCAGGCAAAGUCACAUGUCAUAUUACUAGAUCUCUACUUGUAGUUGAAAAUAUUGACAAGCAAUUACAAUUUUUUUAGUUUAAUUCAUGUGAAGUUCUAAUGUAACUACUAAUGCAUUUUAUUUUAUUGCUUAAGUGCUUUAUACGAAACUAGUAUUUUUAGAAAACGGCAAAUCUAAAAUACUAUAAAAUAAAACUAAUAAAAGAUAUCACCUGCUUUUUUAGACUUACUUAUUAAGCCCUGUACAGCUUUCUCUGGCAAUCUAUUAAAUCGGGUUUAAACUAAGUUGAAGUCUGAUAGAUACAUAGACUUAGGUGUCAAAGAAUUAAGCUAAAUAAGAAUGUUUAGUGGUAUAUGUUUGUGAUGAAUUAUGUAAGGUUUUAGAUUCACUAUAAUAGAUACCGUAUGAUCGAGAAAAAACGGCGUCAGCGAUGGCUAUGGAAUGAAGAUCGCUGUCAUUUUAUAUGUAAAUUUAUAUGGGAAAUGUCAUCGAUGUUCAUUUCCCAGCCAACUGGACGCCGUUUUUUUUUCGAUCAUACGGUAUUUUAGAGUGAAAACAACUUAUCGUACCUCUGUUAAAGAAUUAUUGUAUAUAUUAAAAAAAGUGUAUUUAUAUAUGUAUGUAGGUACAAAGACAAUUUACGAUUCUCUAUAUAAUCUGUUAGUGAAUAUUAAUAUUUUUUGAUUACUCUAUUGUAACACGAUUCCAAAAAUUAAAAUAUACCGCUAAAUCUUUUGUUUUACUAUUUUGGGAAAUAUUGUUUUUUUCAAAUCGAAAAUACACUUUUUUGAAUUAGUAUACUUUGAAAUUGUGUAGUAAAAAUCUGCUGGAAUACAAAACAUAUUUUUUUUGUUAUGAUUAUAUAAAAUGCAUCACAAUACUAUAAUUUGGUUAUUUUUAAAUAUUUUUUAAUUAAAAAUAUUAUAUAAUAUAAGAGGAACUAAAUAGUUUUUUAUUUUAUUUUUAAUCUUUAAAUGUUUUAGUGAAUAUUACUAGGUAGGGUUACCUAAGAAUAUAUUUCUAGCUGAAAUUACAGCUUAUCAAAGUUUGAAUAUGGGAGAUGCAACAUUUAUUGGCGGUAACUUUGAUAUUUUUGUAUAGGAACUGUCACUCCAGAGUAAAAAAUGAAUACCUUCAUAUCGUGGCGGUAAAUUCAAGUAACGCAACAAUUGUAGGCAAAUUGAUAGUUCGACAACUGUUUGAAUUAAAUUGUUUAUCGAUUUUAAACAAACUAAACUAAAAACUAAGCGUCAAAAUCCAGAAGCUUAUGAACGGUUACGUUGUCAGGAUUAUACAUAUAUUAUAUGGAAUUAUAUUUUAGAAAACUAGCAUAUUAGAAAGAAUAAAUGUAUAUUUUAAUAAUACAAGUAUUAGCUAGUCAUUUAUCAUCGUAAAUGUUUAAAUCUAUAUAUUUACUUUCUAUUUAAAUUCACGUUACCUAGUUUUGUAAUUUUCUUUAUCUUUAAUACAUUGAUGUAAAUUAUUCAACCAAAAUAUUCAACGAAAAUUAUUUAAUUAUUUGUGAAGUAUUUUAUAUAUUUUAUAUCAAACUUUAGUUUUGUCUGAAUUAAAGUAACUGUUUUGUUAUUCCCCUUUAUUUCUAUUUUUUCGAUGCUAAAUUGUGAUCAGUGUGACUACUUAUUUAGCUACGCAAUGACUUUUGGUUAAGAUUCCUUAAAUUGUUGAAAAUAAAUGUGGUAUUUAUUUGUUUCAA